RNAcentral lists this ribosomal RNA (417 nucleotides) under uncultured Dothideomycetes. RNAcentral describes it as "LSU rRNA". It matches the Rfam family "Eukaryotic large subunit ribosomal RNA", at positions 103 to 532 of the family's 3401-position model. Lineage: Eukaryota; Fungi; Ascomycota; Dothideomycetes. The record is from RNAcentral.
AACAGCUCAAAUUUGAAAUCUGGCGCAAGCCCGAGUUGUAAUUUGUAGAGGAUGCUUCUGGGUAGCGGCCGGUCUAAGUUCCUUGGAACAGGACGUCACAGAGGGUGAGAAUCCCGUAUGUGAUCGGCCCGCGCCCUCUACGUAGCUCCUUCGACGAGUCGAGUUGUUUGGGAAUGCAGCUCUAAAUGGGAGGUAAAUUUCUUCUAAAGCUAAAUACCGGCCAGAGACCGAUAGCGCACAAGUAGAGUGAUCGAAAGAUGAAAAGCACUUUGGAAAGAGAGUUAAAAAGCACGUGAAAUUGUUGAAAGGGAAGGGCUUGCAACCAGACUUGACGGCGGUGUUCCCCCGGGCUUCUGCCCGGGUUAUUCACCGUCGGCAGGCCAUCAUCGUCUGGGGCCGCUGGAGAAACCGUCAGGA